RNAcentral lists this long non-coding RNA (1323 nucleotides) under Bos taurus (domestic cattle). RNAcentral describes it as "long non-coding RNA NONBTAT019811". The record is from RNAcentral. Lineage: Eukaryota; Metazoa; Chordata; Mammalia; Artiodactyla; Bovidae.
CGUUGUAGUUCACUUUACCACAUCUCUGAUGACCUGUCCAGGUUGGAAUAAAUGUGAUGUGGUACUUCUCAUGUUUUUAUCAGUAACAUGCAGUUGACUGUGCCAUACUUCUCUUGAACUGCACAGUUAAGUGAUCAAGGUAAUUUCCUGAUAGGAGGUGAGCAAAAGGUGACUUGCAAUUGAUAGUGUAAUGUUUGAUCACGUUAUUGUCUUAUAUGAAAGAGUGGGGGGGUGUGAAAAAAAUGUGCAUCAGUGGUUGUAUGUUUCUACUAAAACCAGAAGAUUGUUAGGAAUACUUAAACCUCACUGUGAAAUAAUUAUAUAUUUUGCAAAUUAAUCCCUCCACUACCCAGUGGUUUUUUCCCCCAUGUUACUAAAACUUAGCUUUUAGUUGAUAAUUGCAGUAUUUUUAAAAAAUGUUUUUGUUUUAAGCUUAGGGUUAGUCUUUAUUUGUUCAGUUGUUUUCAACUCUUUGGGAUACUUUAAUUCCUUGAUAUUUAUGAAGUAGAUGUUUAUCACUAGAUGUAGUGCUUUGGUUUACAUGAAUAAUUUUGUGUGUGGUCUAAACACAGUCACUUAGAAGAUGUACAAGAUGGUUAUAUUCAUCGUGGUUACAGAUUCAUUGGCGGCAGGGUGCUGGGCAAGCCACUGCAAAGGUGCUAAGGCUAACAGUGAAUUUUCUGUUUAGGGCCUUAAGCCCCCGAGGGUCCUGAAGACUCAGGGAAUCUGUCAUAUUCCAGAGGUCCUUCAACCCCGCUUCACCCCUUUUCCGUUUCGUCUCCACUGAACCAGGCCUGCCUUGUCCCAACAGCUGAGUAGGAACACAGGGAUUUAAAUGAACUGAUCUUUGUUUAUGUUCAGAUGAGUAAAUGUCCAGACCACUUAAAGUACAGCUGCUUUUCUGGCAGUCUUAUCUGUGGGGCCCAAACUUAAUAAACCACAGGAAAUAGACUGUCAUUCGUAGUUUGUGGCUGGGGCUUGCUUCAGAUUCUGAGCCUUGGGAGAAGUGGAAUUUGCUCUUAUUUGCAACCUUGUGGUUGUCUUGCACCUUUUGUGCUCCUAGCUUUUUCAUUCAGAGAGCAAUUGCAUUUCUUAGCUCUUGCUUUUCUUACCCAGCGAUGUAAUAAAGUGAGUCCCUUUGAAAGUCUGAAACAGACCUCUGGUUCUUCCCACCACCUACCCUUUCAACUGCAAAAAUCACUGAAAAUGGUUAAUGCCUGAAUCCAUGUAAAAACACUUUCACUGGAAAGUCUUUCAGUGGGAAAUGAAUAAAUGUUAUACAUUGUUAUGUUCAGUUAUGUCAAUAAACCCACUUACUAAUGG